UAUCCGGAAUUAUUGGGCGUAAAGAGUUCGUAGACGAACUGUUAAGUAGAAUGUAAAAGGCCGGGGCCCAACCCCGGUAGCGUAUUCUAAACUGACAGAAUAGAGCAAUGCAGGGGCAAGUGGAAUUCUGUGUGUAGGGGUAAUAUCCGUAGAUACACAGAGGAACACCAAAAGCGAAGGCAGCUUGCUGGGCAUUUGCUGACGUUCAAGAACGAAAGCGUGGGGAGCAAACAGGAUUAGAUACCCUGGUAGUCCACGCCCUAAACUAUGAUUACUCGAUGUCGGGGGAUUCGACCCCUUCGGUGUCUAAGCUAACGCGAUAAGUAAUCCGCCUGGGUAGUACGAUCGCAAGAUUAAAACUCAAAGGAAUAGACGGGGACCCGCACAAGCGGUGGAGCAUCUGGUUUAAUUCGACAGUAAACGAAGAACCUCACCAAGGCUUGACAUCCCGAGAAGAUUGCCGAAAGGCGAUUGUGCCGCAAGGAACUCGGUGACAGGUGCUGCAUGGUUGUCGUCAGCUCGUGCCUUGAGGUGUUCGGUUAAGUCCGUAAACGAGCGCAACCCAUGUCCUAUGUUGUAUUUAUCAUAGGAGACUGCCGGCUCUAAGUCGGAGGAAGGUAUGGAUGACGUCAAAUCAGCAUUGGCCCUUAUGCCUUUGGGCUUACACAGGUGCUCCAAUGGGAGAUACAAAAAGGCAGCACACAGCAAUGUGG
Molecule: ribosomal RNA, 713 nt
Filed under: uncultured bacterium
Lineage: Bacteria
Description: bacterial SSU rRNA
Rfam family: Bacterial small subunit ribosomal RNA
Source: RNAcentral